AAACUAAAUAACUGAGUUUCAUAUACAUAGCUAGAAUCCAAAAUACAAGGCUACUCGCAUUGGCGAGUUAAACAACUAUGUACAUAAACUCCAAAACAACAACUACCUGCAGUAGGGGAAAGCCUCUAGCUCUGACUGUCGGGUAGGGCUCUAGCUCGCAACGCCCUUGCCUCGAUCCUGGUUGGCGGAAGAUGCAGCAGCCGGCACCUGUGGCUCUGCAAAACAUAAGUAACAACUGGGCGUGAGAACUACUGUAAAAACAAGUAGUCCUCAGUGGGUACCGCCCAAAACAACAUCGGUCACCCACUAAGUCUACAGAAGGGAGCAAGGAUAGAAGGAAAGCAGGAAGCAUACUCUACCGCUAUCAUCCACUACACUAUCAUGCUCUACACUAACCAACUGUAGGAAAUGUCAAAUCUGACCCAAUCCAAAUCGGGACUGUAAGCAUACCCGUCCCCGGGACUGUGAAUACACCCGUCCCUGCCCCGCUGCGACUAUCGGCUCUAUCCACACUAACUGGUCCGUGGAGAGCAAGUCUAACUGGCAUGAGCGACACCAACGCAAAAGCACAAGCCUGACUCCGGAGUGGCACUCGUGGGCGCUACCCAACCGAGUAUGCAGCGUAUCUCUGUCGAGCUCAAUCAGGCUCCAACUAGCCAAAGUCAAGUAAUCGACUCAAACUGGUCUAACAACCAACAGGUAACGUGCCCUCGGCACAAUCUAACGCCAAAAAAGGCGAUACGGGUCCACCGUCAACUCUGACGGCACCCAACAGUCCGAAACAACCUGAACGACCCUGUAAAAAUCCACUCGGCGAAACAGCACGAGUGUAUAUACAUUCUAAACUACCUGGAGUACUCGUCUUGAAGAAACUGCGAAGUACAAUUUUCUAACGGCUCCUAGAGCUAACUCAGGUAGUUAAAACUGGUGACAGGUCCAAAUCGCAGGUUUUCUCCUAAGUCAAAUCCAAGUCCAACAAGUAUCAAUUAUCAUCACUUACUAAGCAUGCUCCCAAUUCAGGUUUUUAAUAUACUAAUCCAUGAAUUUGAGCUACCUCAUUUAGUGUUCAACGACAAAGCAUACAAGUCGACUAAUAUGUACUUAGAGGCAAAAACCGAUGAACCCACCUCUCAAGCAACUCCUGGCAGCGAAGAAAGUGGCCCGGAUCCAAAAUGAUCCCUCGCUGGUCCGUCGAAGUCCCCGGUUCUCCUGCUGCGAAGAAGUAAACCCAAUUACACUCAAAAUCACGAAAUCUGCCCAGAAAACAGCAGCGAAGAAAGCGUUAAAUCCGACCAAGCUAGCCUUAUCCAAAUUCAGCAAACAAGGGUUCUGAAGCUUCGUCUCAAAGUCACGAAUCCAAUGGUCCAGGUUUUCUUGAAUUCCGACGCUCCUACGCAGAGAACGGGCCAGAAUACGAAACGUCGACGCUGGAACCUGCGAAACAGCAUCUCUGAAAUCUGCUCGGCAAACAGCAGCCUAGUAAAACUAGGGUUCGACAGGGCAAAUCUGCUCCAAAAAUCGCGAUCUUGGGCUCAGAAUCUUCGUCUCGAAGUCGCGAAUCUAGCACGCCAAAUUUCGUCGCGUUUCGACAUUCCUACACAGAGAACUAGGUAAAACACGGCGGGUCAAUGCUGGAAUCAGCAAUCAGCACUUCAGAGUCUGCUCGGCAAACAGCAACUCAGUAAAAAGGGAUUUCGACAGAGCAAACCUUCUCCAAAUCGGGCGAGUAAGGAUCCUAUGGAUUCGUCUC
Molecule: long non-coding RNA, 1750 nt
Filed under: Ananas comosus (pineapple)
Lineage: Eukaryota; Viridiplantae; Streptophyta; Magnoliopsida; Poales; Bromeliaceae
Description: long non-coding RNA (ACOM_LNC012401)
Source: RNAcentral